Unclassified non-coding RNA from Chlorocebus sabaeus (green monkey), 235 nucleotides. NCBI's taxonomy places the organism in Eukaryota, Metazoa, Chordata, Mammalia, Primates, Cercopithecidae. The record is from Ensembl.
AAGGAGAAGAACUGGGAGCCCGGAGCGGAGCGUGUUUCAGAGGUGCGUAUAAAAUCCCAGGGGCGCCAGGAGGCAGCAGCGACGGCGCAGCGUGGGACGGCCAGGCGCGACGGGAGGGAAGCAACCGGUUGCAGUCCGGCCUCCUGUACCUGGCUGGCCCGGGCUGGGGCUCCAAGCUUUCCAGCCAAACAUGUGAAGCAAAGUAGGUUAUAGUUUUGACAAAGAGUGGCGUUUC